CCAGGGCGCUUGGCCCCGUGGGAACGUUUCCUGGGCCUGAGUGGCAGUGAAACACCCACUGGUAAUUGUGCAAGAGGAAGCUUCUGCCCACAGCCCGAGAACAGCUCAGUGCCGCUCCCCAGCCCUCCUGUCCACACACACAGCAGCCCGUGCAGCCCUCCUGGGCACUCGCUGCCCUGCUCCAGCCUGUGCGCACCUCCCGUCACCCGGACUGAGAUGGACAAGCUCCUGUUGCUGCUGCUGCUCCUGCUGGGAGUCUUCCCUGCUGUGUUCUUCCAGGGAGUGGCCCCAGCCACAGUGUGCAUGGUCUGCAGCAAUUUUAAGAGAGGUCAUUGUUUGAGGGGAAAGAGCAACUGCACCAUGGAGCAGGGCCCUGGAUGCAGAACCAGAGAUUUCUUCAUUUUCACCGACAGAGAUGGGUGGAGACUCAACCACACCGAACUGGACUGCUCAGACCGCUGUUUCCCUUCACAAUGGCAUUAUGAGACCCUGAAGAUUUCCACCUUUUGUUGUAAAGGUCAAGAUUUCUGUAACAGAUAUCAAGGAAAGGGACAGGGAUAGAAACUACUGACUCCUUUGUCAGGGUGGCGUCCCCUCGCCCCCUCCUGUCCCUGGCACCUCUGCUCCUGUCUCCCUCCCCACAUGCACCUCAGGGGCACGCACAGUCCCCCUCUGUCCUCCACACUCCCCCCUUCGCCUUUCUCCCGGCCACUGGCUCCUUCCCCCUGGACACCGGACACUCUCAGCUGCCCCUGCUUUCAGGUCUCUGCGUCCUGCACACCUGCAAAGCACCCCCAGCCUCCUCACCCCGCAUUUCCUGCUCUCUCACAACCUCGCAUUUCUCUGGCUGCCUGGCUGCCUCAUUUCUAAUCCCACCCACUCAGAAGGGACUGGAAUGUGCCUGGAAACGGAAUGGGUUCCAUUCUCCACACCAGGAGUGUGAGGGGUCAGUGGAAAACUCAAGAAAAUGUGUGCAACAGGCCGAUGGGCAGGGUGGCCUCAAAGUGCAAGGAGGUUCCAAGGCCUGAGGCAAAAAGAUGGGAUGUCAGCCUUAGAUGCUACGUGCAUAGUCAGGACCCACGGACAGUCACAAGACUCGGAGGGGCUGUCCAAUGGGAGGAGAAGGGAGUAGGGGUGAAUGAGUCACGGCUACUGGAGCCCACCAGCAUAAACAGUGGGUAGUGGUCAGAGAGACAGUGAGUUGAGGAAUGGAUGGAGCAGGGCAGGAGGAAGUGGUGAGCAUGCGCAUCUCUCCCAAGAAAGUGGAGAAGAACUGAGAAAGUCAAACAGUACUUUUUGUAAGAAAAGUGAGUUUAAUAUGCUUUUAGACAGAGUUUUAUGUCUUCUCUUUAAUGUAAAAUGCCUCUUUUAUUAGGACUGCAAGAAUACCUUUCACCAUCUUCUCAUCUUUCUCAACAUAUGUUUUAAAGCAUCUCUCUUGUUCUUUGGGCUUCUUUUUCUUUUUCCCUUUAAAGUACACUGUGGUCCUCGUCCCCUCUUUCAUUCUGUUCCCCUUAUCAGUCACGAUACAAAGAUGGAGAAUGUUAUGAUGAUGUUAAAUUACUUAUGAAAUAUAACCUUACAUUUCUUGUUUAUAAAUUAAAACAAAAUAAGAGGAAUUUCUUUCUCUUGUUGCAACUUGUUUUUAGCCUCAAUUUUUCCUUUGCUGUGUACUGCAGGGGUGUGGAGAUUAUUUGUAUUUUAAUCAUUUUUGAUUACUUCCCACUCACAAUUUAAAAUAAACUAAAUGGAGCAUUUGACCUUUCUCU
Long non-coding RNA from Artibeus jamaicensis (Jamaican fruit-eating bat), 1769 nucleotides. RefSeq lists it as uncharacterized. The record is from RefSeq and is a predicted model, not a curated record. Lineage: Eukaryota; Metazoa; Chordata; Mammalia; Chiroptera; Phyllostomidae. The transcript is spliced from 3 exons.